This 119-nucleotide ribosomal RNA is filed under the name Pteropus alecto (black flying fox). Lineage: Eukaryota; Metazoa; Chordata; Mammalia; Chiroptera; Pteropodidae. The record is from RNAcentral.
GUCUAUGGCCAUGCCACCCUGAACGUGCCUGAUUUUGCCUGAUCUUGGAAGCUAAGCAGGGUUGGGCGUGGUUAGUACUUGGAUGGGAGACCACCUAGGAAUACCAGGUGCUGUAGGCG